CGGGGCGAGGCAUCUCUUAUUUCCUGCCUCACUUACAAAGUGGAAUAAGUGUUUCUUAAUUUAACCACUUGAAAGUCACAUUCUCCCACCAUUGUUGGAGAAAUGGUAGACAUUUCAUUUUAUAGUACACUUUCUAUUUUAGUGUAUUCUUCUUUAUUUUUCCUUCCACUUGAUUUCCUCCUUUUUCCAAUCACACUUUUCAUAUACUUUGAAC
RNAcentral lists this long non-coding RNA (214 nucleotides) under Capsicum annuum. Its description in RNAcentral is "long non-coding RNA (CANN_LNC010881)". The record is from RNAcentral. Lineage: Eukaryota; Viridiplantae; Streptophyta; Magnoliopsida; Solanales; Solanaceae.